UACGAAGGGGGCGAGCGUUGUUCGGAUUUACUGGGCGUAAAGGGCGCGCAGGCGGCGGAUCAAGUCAGAUGUGAAAGCCCCGGGCUUAACCUGGGAACUGCAUUUGGGACUGGUUUGCUAGAGAUCGGGAGAGGAGAGUGGAAUUCCCAGUGUAGAGGUGGAAUUCGUAGAUAUUGGGAAGAACACCGGUGGCGAAGGCGGCUCUCUGGACCGAUACUGACGCUGAGGCGCGAAAGCGUGGGGAGCAAACAGG
Molecule: ribosomal RNA, 253 nt
Filed under: uncultured bacterium
Lineage: Bacteria
Description: partial 16S ribosomal RNA
Rfam family: Bacterial small subunit ribosomal RNA
Source: RNAcentral